UACAGAGGGGGCAAGCGUUGUUCGGAAUUACUGGGCGUAAAGGGCGCGUAGGCGGCCGCCUAAGUCAGACGUGAAAUCCCUCGGCUCAACCGGGGAACUGCGUCUGAUACUGGGUGGCUUGAAUCCGGGAGAGGGAUGCGGAAUUCCAGGUGUAGCGGUGAAAUGCGUAGAUAUCAGGAGGAACACCAAUAGCGAAGGCAGCUCGCUGGGACGAUACUGACGCUAAGGCGCGAAAGCGUGGGGAGCGAACAGG
Molecule: ribosomal RNA, 253 nt
Filed under: uncultured bacterium
Lineage: Bacteria
Description: partial 16S ribosomal RNA
Rfam family: Bacterial small subunit ribosomal RNA
Source: RNAcentral